RNAcentral lists this ribosomal RNA (116 nucleotides) under Pteropus alecto (black flying fox). The record is from RNAcentral. Lineage: Eukaryota; Metazoa; Chordata; Mammalia; Chiroptera; Pteropodidae.
GUCUACUGCCAUGCCACCCUGAUCAAGCUGGAUGUCUGAUCUCAGAAGCUAAGCAGGGUCGGGCCUGGUUAGCACUUGGGUGGGAGACCACCUAGGAAGACCAGGUGCUGUAGGCA